AAUAUUGCACAAUGGGGGAAACCCUGAUGCAGCGACGCCGCGUGAGUGAAGAAGUAUUUCUGUAUGUAAAGCUCUAUCAGCAGGGAAGAUGAUGACAGUACCUGACUAAGAAGCCCCGGCUAACUACGUGGCAGCAGCCGCGGUAAUACGUAGGGGGCGAGCGUUAUCCGGAUUUACUGGGUGUAAAGGGUGCGUAGGUGGCUAGACAAGUCAGAUGUGAAAGCCCGGGGCUCAACUCCGGGACUGCAUUUGAAACUGUAGAGCUAGAGUGCAGGAGAGGUAAGUGGAAUUCCUAGUGUAGCGGUGAAAUGCGUAGAUAUUAGGAGGAACACCAGUGGCGAAGGCGGCUUACUGGACUGUAACUGACACUGAGGCACGAAAGCGUGGGGAGCAAACAGG
Molecule: ribosomal RNA, 399 nt
Filed under: uncultured bacterium
Lineage: Bacteria
Description: partial 16S ribosomal RNA
Rfam family: Bacterial small subunit ribosomal RNA
Source: RNAcentral